RNAcentral lists this transfer RNA (73 nucleotides) under Okeania sp. SIO3B5. RNAcentral describes it as "tRNA-Gln". It matches the Rfam family "tRNA". Rfam says of the family: Transfer RNA (tRNA) molecules are approximately 80 nucleotides in length. Their secondary structure includes four short double-helical elements and three loops (D, anti-codon, and T loops). Lineage: Bacteria; Bacillati; Cyanobacteriota; Cyanophyceae; Oscillatoriales; Microcoleaceae. The record is from RNAcentral.
GGCGUGGUCGAGCAAGUGGUUAACUCGCUAGAGAUUGAUUCUAGAGACGCUGGUUCAAAUCCAGCCUGCGCCA